This 73-nucleotide transfer RNA is filed under the name Ornithorhynchus anatinus (platypus). It matches the Rfam family "tRNA". From Rfam's summary of the family: Transfer RNA (tRNA) molecules are approximately 80 nucleotides in length. Their secondary structure includes four short double-helical elements and three loops (D, anti-codon, and T loops). Further hydrogen bonds mediate the characteristic L-shaped molecular structure. tRNAs have two regions of fundamental functional importance: the anti-codon, which is responsible for specific mRNA codon recognition, and the 3' end, to which the tRNAs corresponding amino acid is attached (by aminoacyl-tRNA synthetases). tRNAs cope with the degeneracy of the genetic code in two manners: having more than one tRNA (with a specific anti-codon) for a particular amino acid; and 'wobble' base-pairing, i.e. permitting non-standard base-pairing at the 3rd anti-codon position. The record is from Rfam by way of RNAcentral. Lineage: Eukaryota; Metazoa; Chordata; Mammalia; Monotremata; Ornithorhynchidae.
AGCAGUAUGGCUUAGUGGAUAAAGCUCAGGCCUGGGAGUCAGAAGGACCUGAGUUCUAAUCCCAGCUCUGCUA